CAGGCUUAACACAUGCAAGUCGAGGGUUAGCAUGGUCUUAGCUUGCUAAGGCCGAUGGCGACCGGCGCACGGGUGAGUAACACGUAUCCAACCUGCCGUCUACUCUUGGACAGCCUUCUGAAAGGAAGAUUAAUACAAGAUGGCAUCAUGAGUCCGCAUGUUCACAUGAUUAAAGGUAUUCCGGUAGACGAUGGGGAUGCGUUCCAUUAGAUAGUAGGCGGGGUAACGGCCCACCUAGUCUUCGAUGGAUAGGGGUUCUGAGAGGAAGGUCCCCCACAUUGGAACUGAGACACGGUCCAAACUCCUACGGGAGGCAGCAGUGAGGAAUAUUGGUCAAUGGGCGAGAGCCUGAACCAGCCAAGUAGCGUGAAGGAUGACUGCCCUAUGGGUUGUAAACUUCUUUUAUAAAGGAAUAAAGUCGGGUAUGGAUACCCGUUUGCAUGUACUUUAUGAAUAAGGAUCGGCUAACUCCGUGCCAGCAGCCGCGGUAAUACGGAGGAUCCGAGCGUUAUCCGGAUUUAUUGGGUUUAAAGGGAGCGUAGAUGGAUGUUUAAGUCAGUUGUGAAAGUUUGCGGCUCAACCGUAAAAUUGCAGUUGAUACUGGAUAUCUUGAGUGCUGUUGAGGCAGGCGGAAUUCGUGGUGUAGCGGUGAAAUGCUUAGAUAUCACGAAGAACUCCGAUUGCGAAGGCAGCCUGCUAAGCUGCAACUGACAUUGAGGCUCGAAAGUGUGGGUAUCAAACAGGAUUAGAUACCCUGGUAGUCCACACGGUAAACGAUGAAUACUCGCUGUUUGCGAUAUACUGCAAGCGGCCAAGCGAAAGCGUUAAGUAUUCCACCUGGGGAGUACGCCGGCAACGGUGAAACUCAAAGGAAUUGACGGGGGCCCGCACAAGCGGAGGAACAUGUGGUUUAAUUCGAUGAUACGCGAGGAACCUUACCCGGGCUUAAAUUGCAGAUGAAUUACGGUGAAAGCCGUAAGCCGCAAGGCAUCUGUGAAGGUGCUGCAUGGUUGUCGUCAGCUCGUGCCGUGAGGUGUCGGCUUAAGUGCCAUAACGAGCGCAACCCUUGUUGUCAGUUACUAACAGGUUCCGCUGAGGACUCUGACAAGACUGCCAUCGUAAGAUGUGAGGAAGGUGGGGAUGACGUCAAAUCAGCACGGCCCUUACGUCCGGGGCUACACACGUGUUACAAUGGGGGGUACAGAGGGCCGCUACCACGCGAGUGGAUGCCAAUCCCCAAAACCUCUCUCAGUUCGGACUGGAGUCUGCAACCCGACUCCACGAAGCUGGAUUCGCUAGUAAUCGCGCAUCAGCCACGGCGCGGUGAAUACGUUCCCGGGCCUUGUACACACCGCCCGUCAAGCCAUGGGAGCCGGGGGUACCUGAAGUGCGUAACCGCGAGGAGCGCCCUAGGGUAAAACUGGUGAAUG
Molecule: ribosomal RNA, 1430 nt
Filed under: uncultured organism
Description: 16S ribosomal RNA
Rfam family: Bacterial small subunit ribosomal RNA
Source: RNAcentral